RNAcentral lists this ribosomal RNA (428 nucleotides) under uncultured bacterium. RNAcentral's name for it is "bacterial SSU rRNA". It matches the Rfam family "Bacterial small subunit ribosomal RNA", at positions 355 to 776 of the family's 1533-position model. The record is from RNAcentral.
UGGGGAAUUUUGCACAAUGGGCGAAAGCCUGAUGCAGCAACGCCGCGUGUGUGAUGAAGGUCUUCGGAUCGUAAAGCACUUUCGACCGGGACGAACAACCUCUGGCUAACAGUCAGGGGCCUGACGGUACCGGGAGAAGAAGCACCGGCUAACUCUGUGCCAGCAGCCGCGGUAAUACAGAGGGUGCAAGCGUUGUUCGGAAUUAUUGGGCGUAAAGCGCGUGUAGGCGGCAUAGCAAGUCGGGUGUGAAAGCCCUCAGCUCAACUGAGGAAGUGCGCCCGAAACUGCUGUGCUUGAGUGCCGGAGAGGAUGGCGGAAUUCCCCAAGUAGGGGUGAAAUUCGUAGAUAUGGGGAGGAACACCGGUGGCGAAGGCGGCCAUCUGGACGGUAACUGACGCUGAGACGCGAAAGCGUGGGGAGCAAACAGG